UUUGAGUUUUAUUAUGAAAAUGGCUUGACGUUGGAUCAAGCAUUGAUGGACGUUUAAGAGAGUUUUGAAUGAAUAUUCGAGAGAAAAAGAAUAGAUAGAUUUGGAUGAUGGCGAGAGUUAAGAUAGGAAAGACAUCCAUCUCGAACCCUAGCCUCAGGAGUGCGUGGUAUCCACCACGUUCCAUUUCCAUCUUUAUUGAAAAGGUCUUUAAAUAUGAAUUAAGUUUUUUUUUUGUUUUUAUUGUGAAAAAGGGCUUGACGUUGUAUCAAGC
RNAcentral lists this long non-coding RNA (271 nucleotides) under Lathyrus oleraceus (garden pea). RNAcentral's name for it is "Pisum sativum (pea) long non-coding RNA (PSAT_LNC027910)". The record is from RNAcentral. Lineage: Eukaryota; Viridiplantae; Streptophyta; Magnoliopsida; Fabales; Fabaceae.